This 253-nucleotide ribosomal RNA is filed under the name uncultured bacterium. RNAcentral describes it as "partial 16S ribosomal RNA". It matches the Rfam family "Bacterial small subunit ribosomal RNA", at positions 524 to 776 of the family's 1533-position model. The record is from RNAcentral.
UACGUAGGGUGCAAGCGUUGUCCGGAAUUAUUGGGCGUAAAGAGCUCGUAGGUGGCCUGUCGCGUCGGCUGUGAAAACUCGGGGCCCAACUCCGAGCUUGCAGUCGAUACGGGCAGGCUAGAGUUCGGCAGGGGAGACUGGAAUUCCUGGUGUAGCGGUGAAAUGCGCAGAUAUCAGGAGGAACACCGGUGGCGAAGGCGGGUCUCUGGGCCGAAACUGACGCUGAGGAGCGAAAGCGUGGGGAGCAAACAGG